GUUCUUUAAAGGUUAUUUUGGCCGCAGCCACAUUCAUUUUUGCUGGGAUUCAGAGGUACUUCCUUUUCUGAAUACUAGGAUUUGUGAUGGCAGUCUGAUAGCAGACUGUUAUGACCUUUGAAAAAUCUCAUUUUGAUGUUUGAUGUGAGUUUUAUUUAUAGCCAUUACUUAUAUUGUGUUAGCACCUUGAGCAUUCCUGUUGGAGUUGGAGUGUGCUCAGUGCUACACCAGUCUCAGCUAGAUGCAGCAAUUUAGUGCCAUUUGCUCACAAAGUUAGCUCAAGAAACGGUGGCCAACAUUUAGCGUGCCCAGAAGCUAAGAAGCAAUGAGUUCUGAUUGUCUGAAUUGUCAGAACAUUAACUGGUCUAGCAGUAUGCACCUAACUUUUCCCAUGUGCCCUAACUUCUCAACAUAGAUAGACUUUGGCCUGACCUGGCUUUGCAUCUGAAAAAAAAAAAAAAAAUAUCAAGGGAACUCUGAGGAGAUCUACUUUGUGCUAUGAUAGGGAUAUACAUUUCACUCACUUUAACAGCUGGCACUUAGUCAUGGCAUCUGGGCUAUCUCUAUUUACAAAGGAAAGGAGAGGCUUCUCUGGAGGUUGACUUAGCCAUGCAUAUGAUAUGAGAAGGAAUUGCACUCUUGAGAUGGUCACCUCACCCCAGUAGAGGAAGAAGUAGUCUGUUGAAUGACCAAAGUUAGCCACUCCAUCCUCUGUGUCUCAACACUUCUGAGAAAGUAGUCCCUGCUCUUUCACUCUUGGCCUGUCUUGUCAGAAGAGUUCUUUCAAGUGACGACUGUCUCACAGUCUGUAUUGCUGCAAUGCCUAGAACACUGGUCUUGCUGGAACCUCUAAACUUUGCUGUGUCUGUGUUGUACAUUGCGUUGGAUAAUUUUGAAGAAUUCAGCAAAGUGUAAGAAUAAAAAGAAUGUGAAAUAGGC
Molecule: long non-coding RNA, 939 nt
Filed under: Gallus gallus (chicken)
Lineage: Eukaryota; Metazoa; Chordata; Aves; Galliformes; Phasianidae
Description: lncRNA (ENSGALG00010006985.1)
Source: RNAcentral